UACGUAGGGUGCAAGCGUUGUCCGGAAUUAUUGGGCGUAAAGAGCUCGUAGGCGGUUCGUCGCGUCGGCUGUGAAAUCCCGGGGCUUAACUCCGGGUCUGCAUUCGAUACGGGCAGGCUAGAGUUCGGUAGGGGAGAUCGGAAUUCCUGGUGUAGCGGUGAAAUGCGCAGAUAUCAGGAGGAACACCGGUGGCGAAGGCGGAUCUCUGGGCCGAUACUGACGCUGAGGAGCGAAAGCGUGGGGAGCGAACAGG
RNAcentral lists this ribosomal RNA (253 nucleotides) under uncultured bacterium. Its description in RNAcentral is "partial 16S ribosomal RNA". It matches the Rfam family "Bacterial small subunit ribosomal RNA", at positions 524 to 776 of the family's 1533-position model. The record is from RNAcentral.